GAUCAUGGCUCAGGACGAACGCUGGCGGCGUGCUUAACACAUGCAAGUCGAACGCUGAAGCCCAGCUUGCUGGGUGGAUGAGUGGCGAACGGGUGAGUAACACGUGAGUAACCUGCCCCCUUCUUUGGGAUAACGCCCGGAAACGGGUGCUAAUACUGGAUAUUCACUGGCCUUCGCAUGGGGGUUUGGGUGGGAAAGGGUUUUUUUCUUGGUGGGGGAGUGGGCUCGCGGCCUAUCAGCUUGUUGGUGGGUG
RNAcentral lists this ribosomal RNA (253 nucleotides) under uncultured bacterium. RNAcentral's name for it is "partial 16S ribosomal RNA". It matches the Rfam family "Bacterial small subunit ribosomal RNA", at positions 15 to 258 of the family's 1533-position model. The record is from RNAcentral.